AUCUUUGUGCAAGGGUGGUGCCAUCGUGCGUGAGGGAAUUCCCGAUGCGUGGCUUUUUGCUGAUUGCAAACUAAACAUCCAAGCCCGCGACAUGUGAAGCUUGCUUCCUGUCGCAAUUUUUGUAGCUGGCCCAGGUCG
This 138-nucleotide small nuclear RNA is filed under the name Capsaspora owczarzaki ATCC 30864. RNAcentral describes it as "U4 spliceosomal RNA". It matches the Rfam family "U4 spliceosomal RNA". From Rfam's summary of the family: U4 small nuclear RNA (U4 snRNA) is a component of the major U2-dependent spliceosome. The record is from Rfam by way of RNAcentral. Lineage: Eukaryota; Filasterea; Ministeriida; Capsasporidae.